GGGGGGGGGGGGGGGGGGGGGGGGGGGGGGGGGGGGGGGGGGGGGGGGGGGGGGUGGGGGGGGUGGGGGAGGGGGGGGCGGGUGGGUGGCGCGGGAGUACGCUGCCCUGGGCUGUGGGGUGGCGUCGGGGGAGUGGGGCUGAUGCCGGCUAGGAGCUCCUGCUGCAUGGUGGGGGUUGGAAAGUUUCGGCGGUUGGUGAUGGACUCGCGGCUUAUCAGCUUGUUGGUGGGGUAGUGGCUUACCAAGGCUUUGACGGGUAGCCGGCCUGAGAGGGUGACCGGCAACAUUGGGACUGAGAUACGGCCCAGACUCCUACGGGAGGCAGCAGUGGGGAAUAUUGCACAAUGGGCGGAAGCCUGAUGCAGCAACGCCGCGUGCGGGAUGACGGCCUUCGGGUUGUAAACCGCUUUCGCCUGUGACGAAGCGUGAGUGACGGUAAUGGGUAAAGAAGCACCGGCUAACUACGUG
This 468-nucleotide ribosomal RNA is filed under the name uncultured bacterium. Its description in RNAcentral is "partial 16S ribosomal RNA". The stretch from base 54 to 468 matches the Rfam family "Bacterial small subunit ribosomal RNA", at positions 39 to 507 of the family's 1533-position model. The record is from RNAcentral.